This 512-nucleotide small RNA is filed under the name Pongo abelii (Sumatran orangutan). Its description in RNAcentral is "retained intron". The record is from RNAcentral. Lineage: Eukaryota; Metazoa; Chordata; Mammalia; Primates; Hominidae.
AGGCCAACCUACCGGCGACUAGGAUGCUUUCGCUUUCGCUCUGGCUUUCCAUUACUCGGGACUGGGGAAACCGGGAGAAUAGAAGCAGGCAAGGACCGCCGUGGGCACGGGGUGUCCCCAGCGCAGCCAAUCGGCUUCCGAAGAAGGUGAGUUGCUGCCUGAAAAGAAAAGACAAACACCAGUAUCUUUCAUUCCGUUGGCCAGGCGCGCCAUUCCCCAAGUGAGUUCUGUUCUCCAACCAAAGUGCUGGAUUCCAAGGGACUGGAAGGGAAAGUCCCUAAAAAUUACGAGUUCAGGCGUCUGAGACUUGGUGGGAACGGACCUUCCUCUUAGGUGAGUUACUCUUUGGUUCUGGGGCUGACCUGGAGUUUUGCCAGGAUUCAUUGGCCGCGGCGGGAUGCUGGUGGGGAGAAGGUAGAUAAAAUCCGCACUCCUGCGGGCUUUUAUUCUGAAAGGGGCACUGACGCUCUCCCUGGAAACGUAAAAAGAACAGAACCAAAUGAACGGAUGUG